GAACAUUUCAAGAACCCUAAUCCAGAUGCUGCUUCAGACAGUCAUUGUCAUUUCCGCCUUCCAUCUAUACAUCAUGACUGUAAAAUCUGAGGAAAAGAUCACCACACCUUGGAGUUGAAUCUGGCCUUUACUAUGAAUGCCCUAAAGUUAUGCGACCCGGAAAACAAAAGAAAGACCUGCUUGAGACAUGUAAUUUUCUAACAGUUCAGUGCUCCAUCAAUGGCUUUCACUUCAGAGGUAAUCCAUCUCUCCUAACUUGCUCUCUCUUUAAUGUGCCCCAAACAGCCAUUGCCUCUGUCACAGAACAUUUCAAGAACCCUAAUGCAGUUGGUACUUCACACAGGCAUUGUUGCUUCCAUCUUCCAUCUUCUACAUCAUGACAGAAAAAUCUGAGAAAAAAAAAACACCACGCCUGGGAGUGGAAGGUGGCCUGUACUAUGAAUGCCCUAAAGUCAUGGGACACCAAAAAAGAAAGAAAGACCCAUUUGAGACCUGCAAAUUCCUAACACUACAGUGCUCCAUCAAUGGCUUUCAGUUCAGGGGUAAUCCAUCUCUCUUCACAUACUCUCCAUGGGAUGUGCCCAAGACAGCCAUUGCCUCUGUCCCAAUACAUUUCAAGAACCCUAAUCCCUUUGCUGCUUCACACAGGCAUUGUUGUUUCCAUCUUCCAACUUCCACACCAUGACUGUAAAAUCUGAGGAAAACAACGCCAUGCCUGGGAGUGGAAGCUUCCCAUACUAUGAAGGCUCUAAAGUCAUGGGACACUGAAAAAGAAAGACCCACUUGAUACAUGCAAAUUCCUACCAGAUCAGUGCUCCAUAUGUGGCUUUCAAUUCAGAGGUAAUCCAUCUCUCUUGAUACACUCUCCAUUUAAUGUGCUCAAGAGAGCCAUUGCCUCUGUCACAGA
This 907-nucleotide long non-coding RNA is filed under the name Marmota monax (woodchuck). The record is from RNAcentral. Lineage: Eukaryota; Metazoa; Chordata; Mammalia; Rodentia; Sciuridae.